This 253-nucleotide ribosomal RNA is filed under the name uncultured bacterium. RNAcentral describes it as "partial 16S ribosomal RNA". It matches the Rfam family "Bacterial small subunit ribosomal RNA", at positions 524 to 776 of the family's 1533-position model. The record is from RNAcentral.
UACGUAGGGUGCGAGCGUUGUCCGGAAUUAUUGGGCGUAAAGGGCUCGUAGGCGGUCUGUCGCGUCGGGAGUGAAAACUCAGGGCUUAACCCUGAGCCUGCUUCCGAUACGGGCAGACUAGAGGUAUGCAGGGGAGAACGGAAUUCCUGGUGUAGCGGUGAAAUGCGCAGAUAUCAGGAGGAACACCGGUGGCGAAGGCGGGUCUCUGGGCCAAAACUGACGCUGAGGAGCGAAAGCGUGGGGAGCGAACAGG